Small nuclear RNA from Neomonachus schauinslandi (Hawaiian monk seal), 103 nucleotides. Lineage: Eukaryota; Metazoa; Chordata; Mammalia; Carnivora; Phocidae. The record is from RefSeq and is a predicted model, not a curated record.
GUGCUCGUUUCAGCAGCACAUACACCAAAACUGGAAUACAGACAAGAUUAGCGUGGCCCCUGCACAAGGAUGACCAUAGAGUUCAGUGACUGCACAGUAGGAU